UAUAUAAAUUUUAGAAGAAGCACGACCAGUUUGAUAGUGAAACAUCAUUUAUUCUUGAAUGAAGAAUUUUUUAACACAUAACUGUUAGGCAACUAAUGUGCCUCAUAAUUUAAGAUAUGCAAUUAAAUUUUAAUUAAUGGUGAAUAGCUAGCAGAGGCUGAACAACACGCUGUCAGCAGGCAGGCGAAGAGGCAAAAGAGAGAGAGAGACUACAGAGUUAGUAGCUAUUUAUACUAGGUAGGUGCAGAAACUAUUCUAAGCUAUGACUGGUUUAUUUUAGUUUUAGUUACCUUUAUCAAGCGGUGUUAUGUAACAUGGAAAGAUCUCGAAUUUGGGAGAACAGAGGAAUUUACAGGGACAGCAUAAAAUCUAGAAUUGUUAAUUUUAAGGUCGCCAAUUAUUCUUAAAGCAGCUAUUGAAUUUUGUUAUAGCUAACGUAUCACCCCCUUCAAAAGAAAGGUUGGGAGAGCAGGGUGGCAGAAAAAGCACUUGUGAAACAAGAGAAAGUUUGUCAUAUGAGGAAAGACAUGAGGAAGAAUCAAGGACAUAGCCUGCAGGUUUUCCUAUGCCCUGCCAUUACUCAUGAUGUUUCUCAUAUACAGAUUAUGAAUUACUUAAACAACUAAUUUACAAUUAUUACAACAAAAAUAUAACUUCUAAACAAACUAAAUAAUAAAUUAACACAAAUAUAAUUUUUUUAAAGACCUCAAAUUAUUAAAAUGUCCAAUGAAAAAUUUUGUAAGGUCUCUUGAAAAUAGUUCUACAAGGUAAAUGUUUAAUAACAGUCUCAAAUUUUUCUUGAUGAAAAAUAUUUCCAUAGAUUUGCCAACUUAUCAUGUAAAAAUAUAAUACUCAAUUUAUGAUUAUUUAAAUAAAUUCUUCUUAUUGUGGAUACAAAUAUUUAAUACAAUAGAAAAUUUAAACAUAGUAAUAUAAUGCAAUACACAAUAAUACUUUGACAAUUAAUUGGCAUGUCCUCUCCGACAAAAUCAGCGUACCAUCUUGGUUGGAGGAUGCUUAAGUACAAUGUAUCAAAAAAUCCCCAUUCCUUAGAAAAAGGUAACUGAUUUUAGGCAUCCUACAAUUGUCAAAGUUUUUGUUUCAAAAAUCUUUCCUGUUAAAUUAAUCAAAUACUACAUUAUAUAGAAUUAAACUGAAAUUUAAAACAAAUAACUCAUACAAUAAAUCCUUUUAAAUUUUACAAAAAUAAAAUUGAAUAUUACUCUACAAUAAAGGAACAAUUUUGUUUUAAAAUCAUGUAUAAAGUAUGAGCUUGUGAAUUAAAAUUACAAUAAUUUUUUUUUGAAUCUCCAUAAUAAUAGUUUAGGGAAGGCAUUUUAAAAUAUAAAAAAUUUGUAUACAUCAUUCAUAAACACAACAAAUUUUAAACUUUUCACACCAUACAGCAUCAUUUAUUGAAAUUAUGCUUUUCACUAUUAUUAAGACAUUGACGAUUUACUUAUUUUUUACAAAACCCCACAACUUUCUCUAAAUACUAACAUAUCCACCAUAUUGGCACAUCCAACUGAGUGAACUGGUGUUUAAUUUUCACCAGUGACCGAAAGGGAUGCCAAAUUGGCAGUUACCGUAAAAGGGCCUCCGUUCCUUGGAUAGAGGCAACUGGCCUUUCUGAGCUGCUCUAUCAUUCAAUUAUAAAAAAUUAAAAACACACUCUAUUAUAUGAAAAAAUAUAAAUACUUGGAUUAAAAAAUGUAUUUUUUCAUAAGAUGAGAGACUUAAAGAAACAUUAAAGAAAUUCUCGAAAACAUUAAAGAAAUUCAUACAAUUUAAAAUUUUCAAACAAUAAUUUCAUUCUUAAAAUUCAAAAUAAUAUUCAAAAUUCAAAAAUAUAAAUUCAGAGACAUUUAAGCAAUAGUACAAAGAUAUUAAUCGUAUUAGGAACCUUUUCUAAGUAAAAUCUUCAAAAUUCUUUACCAAAUUUUUAUAAAAUUCAGAUAUAUGAAACUACAUUAAAAAUAAAUCAUAAAAUUUUUAAAUGAUUAACUUUCAUCUUAAAAUGAUUUAAGCAAAAUAUUACCAUCAAUAAAUCAUAAUACAAUUACUUAUAAAUGCAAAGUUAUUUUAAAACUUAAUUUACUUGAUUGAAAAAAAAUUUGCUUUGUAAAUGGAACUUAAUACUACUUCAACAUCACUUUUGAUGAUAUUCCAUUCUUUGAAUGAGAAGAGCACAAAACAUUAUUUCGUAUUUCACAUUUCAUUGAUAAGGGUUACUGAACUUAAAAGCACUUCGGAUGUUAAAUUUACUUUUACGCCAUGAUUGGAAAUGCAUAGACAUUGUGAAUAUUUGUAAAGAACAAGAACCAUAUAACCAUAUUUCUAUGUUGCAACACUGAUCUAAGGACCUUGAUACGAAAACUUUUCUUCUCUGCUUCAAAGCAGUGCACCGUGAUGCUGUACUUUAUUUUUCUCUUUUAGAUUUUUGAACUUGCAGAUACAUGAUAUCCAUUUUGAAUUUCUUUUACACAUCGAAGUUCGAACAGGUGGUUGGUUAAUGCAGACACUGCGAUGACGUUUCCAUUGGAAUUUUAACACACAGGAUAUGUAUCCUGUGAACGCUUCUGUAGUAUUGUACUUUUGGCGGAAGAUAAAAGCAAUUCACAUUCUAGUCAUGGCCCAAAAAACUGCUGCGUAGAUACGCAGCAUAGUAAAUGAUUGGAUGGAAUUUUAGAAGAAGCAUAAUCAGCUUGAUAGUUAAACAUCAUUUAUUCUUGAAUGAUGAAUUUCUUAACACAUAACUGUUAGAAGACUAGGGCUGCUAAAUGCACCUCAUAAUUUUAGAUAUGCAAUUACAUUUGAAUUAAUGGCGAAUAGCUAGCAGAGACUGGGCGACACACUGCCAGCAGGCAGGCGAAAAAGUGAAAGAGAGAGCGAGACUAAGCAGUUAAUAGCUAUUUAUACUAGAUAGGUGUGGAAAACUAUUUAUAAUAGAUUGGUGCUAAGCUAUGAUUGGUUAAUUUUAUUGUUAGUAUCCUUUUGCAAGUGGCGUUAUGUACUUUUGCAAGUGGCGUUAGAUAUCGAAUUUGGGAGAACAGAUGAAUUUACUGGGACAGCAUAAAAUCUAGAAUCGUUAAUUUUAAGGUUACCAAUUCUUAAAGCAGGUUUAUCCAUAAUCUUAAGAACCCUCAGUAAGGAGGUACGGAGUACUUACUUUAGAAGAGAUAAAGGAUGCUGAGGUGUAUAUUUUAUUAUAGGCCCAGAAAAGUGAGUUUCUAGAAGAAAUAAAUCAAUUAAAAAGAGGAAUGUUUUGUAUUAGCUGAGAAAUGCUUGGCGCCAGAGCGGAAUCUUGGCGGAAUUGGCACUGAAAUGUAUUCUGUGAGAAACUUGAUUUUGUGGUACAUUCGAAGCUGCGAUUUAUAUAUUACGCUGUAAGGGGAAACCUAGCGCCUGAAAGUCGCUAUGGAAAAUAAAUGUAUUGAAACUGUGUAA
RNAcentral lists this long non-coding RNA (3447 nucleotides) under Stegodyphus dumicola. Its description in RNAcentral is "uncharacterized LOC118184468". The record is from RNAcentral. Lineage: Eukaryota; Metazoa; Arthropoda; Arachnida; Araneae; Eresidae.